GUUUUUUUUGUUGUUUUUUUUUUUUGCUCAUAACUGGUCCUUUGGUGCCCUCUGGUGAUACAGCUCAUGAAAACAAGUACUAGAUCGCUAAUUCUCUCUCUCACACUAUAGUAUUGCCAUCUAAUGUACACAGUUUACAACACCAAAAUGCAGAAAGAAAAAUUACCCACAAGAAUAAUUGUACACUUAUCAGUUUAUUUAGUCUUGCCUCACAUAAAAAUUGCUAAAAGCUUUGAGUUGAGAGUGGUAAUGUAAGAGAAAGCAAUCUCUAACUUUGUGGGGUUUUUUUUUUGUUUGUUUGUUUUUUUAGUUUUUAGAACAUGAGACACCUUCUCACUCUGUCACCCAGGCUGCAGUGUAGUGAUGUAAUCUGCACUCACUCUGGCCUGGACCUCCCAGGCUCCAGCAAUCCUCCCACCUCAGCUCCUUGAGUAGCUGGGAACACAGGAAGGCGCCACCCCGCCCUGCUAAUUUUUGUAUUUGUAGAGAUGAGAUUUCACUAUGUUGCCUGGGCUGGUGUUGAACUCCUGAGCUCAAGUGAUCCACCCACCUCAGCCUCCCGAAGUGCUGGGAUUUACAGAUGUGAUCCACUGCACCCAGCAGCAAUGUCUAACUUCAUAAACUGAGACUAUGCUAAUCAGUGACAAAGAACAAAAUUUUUAAAUUUCUAAUAGACUAACAAAUAAAUCAGUCUUACCACUUCUCUGUGCAGAUUGCCAGUAAAUCUCCUUUCAUUGAAACAAGGCAAAUAAAUUAAACAUGGUGAAUAACCCACUGACAGAAAGCAUGGUAUUUUUCUGGGCAAUCUGAACUACAAAUUGGCUGACAACAGGAAACAGUAUGGCCCUACACUACAUGAUUUUCUAUCAUUAAAACUAUGGAAAUAUUUUCCUUGUCCUCAUGUCCUCAUAGAUAUGUCUCUUUUAAAUAGCAUAGAGCUGGAUUUUUAAAAUCCAAUCUGGUAAGCUAUUUAAAUUUAAAUUGGUGGUUAUAGUGAUUAAUAAUGUAGUUGGGCUUGUUUUGCCCCUCUUAUUCAUGUAUAAUGUAUUUUUAUACUUGUUUUGUUCAUAUUGUUUUAUUUUGAAUUAAUUGAAUCUUUGUCUUUAUUUUAUUAUUUUGUAUUCAUUGAUUUAAAAAAUUUUAUGUUAACCUUGAAAUACUGUCAUGCAGAUUUAAUAAAUUCUUAAGCUAA
This 1192-nucleotide long non-coding RNA is filed under the name Homo sapiens (human). Its description in RNAcentral is "novel transcript". Lineage: Eukaryota; Metazoa; Chordata; Mammalia; Primates; Hominidae. The record is from RNAcentral.